RNAcentral lists this ribosomal RNA (253 nucleotides) under uncultured bacterium. RNAcentral describes it as "partial 16S ribosomal RNA". It matches the Rfam family "Bacterial small subunit ribosomal RNA", at positions 524 to 776 of the family's 1533-position model. The record is from RNAcentral.
UACAGAGGGUGCGAACGUUGUUCGGAAUUACUGGGCGUAAAGCGCGUGUAGGCGGCAGCGCAAGUCGGGCGUGAAAUCCCACGGCUCAACCGUGGAAGUGCACUCGAAACUGCGCAGCUAGAGUCCUGGAGAGGAAGGUGGAAUGCUUGGUGUAGAGGUGAAAUUCGUAGAUAUCAAGCGGAACACCGGUGGCGAAGGCGACCUUCUGGACAGUGACUGACGCUGAGACGCGAAAGCGUGGGGAGCAAACAGG